CAUCCCUUAAUAGCCUCUCAACAACUUGACUCAUGGUGGGUCUAACAUCUUUCUCUUCCUUUACACAAUCCAAAGCAACAUCUGCCAAAGUCUCCAUCUUCUUUACAUCAUAAUUUGAUCCCAAUUUAGGGUCAACAAUUUGCUCAACCCAACAACCAACUUCUAAUCCUUUUCUUCUUUUCUCCCUAACCCAUGUUACCAACCUCUCAUGACACAACUCUUCUUUGUCUUUGAUUUGGAUACCUGUUGUUGGACUCUUUCCGGUAAUCAUCUCCAACACAACGACUCCAUAGCUAUAAACAUCCACUUUUGAAGUGAUUUCCAUGUUGAAAACCCACUCAGGUGCCAUGUAACCUCUUGUCCCUCGAAUCCUCGAGAAUUUUGAAUGAUCAAAGUCGUCCCUAUUUAAUAGCUUGGACAAACCAAAAUCCGCUACCUUCGGUUGGUAAUCAGAGUCAACAAGUAUGUUUUGCGGCUUUAUAUCACAAUGCAAAAUCCACUCCAAACAUUCUUCGUGUAAAUAAGCAAGGCCCUUUGCAGUUCCCAUAGCAAUGUUAUACCUUUUACUCCAAUCAAGUUUAUUUGAUGAAAGAUUAUCGGCUAAAGUACCGUUUUCCAUGCACUCGUAAACCAACAAUCUAUGUUUUCCCUCAGCACAAUAGCCCCACAUACCAAUUAAGUUCAUGUGGUUAAGCCUUCCAAUGAUGCUUACUUCAGCAAGAAACUCACUCUCACUCUCUCCUUGAUUCGCUUCAUGCAAACGCUUUAUCGCAGCAACUCGAUUAUCAGAUAAAACACCCUUAUACACAGUUCCACAAGCACCCUUUCCAAUCUCUUGACUGAAAUUCUUUGUUGCAUGUUUUAGUUCAGAGUAGGUGAAUUUCGUAAAUCCUGUUGCUGCUGCUGCAAGAACAUAGUUGUGAUUUCCUUCACUAGAAUGCUUCCUGUUCUUUAAUAAGAAACACCAUACCAUAAAGAAGCAGAAGAACUCAAUUCCUCCCAAGCCACUUGCAAACCAAAGCAUGAACUUCACUGAUCGAUUGUCUUUGCCUUUGACAUAUAAUCUUACUAGUUGUUUUGGUGCAUUUUGUGAACAAACCAAGCUAUCAUCCUUGACAAUGUUCUCGUGGGAAAAAUCAAUAUUGUUUUUCGGCAAUAGCAAGAAAAUUGAUUUUUGGAAAUGUGGUGAAUGAAACCCAUUUAAAAACUUUGUCUUUGGGUGACAACUAUAAGUACCACUUUGCUUCCGAUAUGUGUAUUCAAAUCCGAUACACUCACACAGUCGCAUGCACAAAUGCUUACAUUGUUUAUAGGUAUAAUUUGCGUAAGUACCAUAAUCAUAUCCAUAAAAUUUGACAUGGGGUAAGUGUUGGAAGCGAGUAUUUGAACUUGUCUUGUUGUCACAUGAAAGUUGGAAGCUUGGUUUGCACCCUUGGAACCAGUCUUGAUUAUCGAUCCUGAUAUAACCUGGAAGGCACGAACACUUUCUACCACUACGGAAAUUAUAACUGCAAACGCCAUUGGGUCCACAAAUCCCCUGAAUAUUACAAGAACCUAUACGAAAUUGCGCUGAUACCGACCACUUCUCUUGUCCAUGUUUUCGGCUAUAAACACGAACGUUACCAUCAUGAUCAAGGGACAACCUUCGUUGGAGUAGUGUCCCAUAGUCACUAGUUGUUAUAGUGAAGUUAUCAGAAGAGCUGAAUUCCCCUAAAGGACUUAGUAUUGCAACCUUGCUACUGUUGUAGGUGGAUCUACCAGAUUGCCAACUGAGGAGCCAUGGAACUGGCCAGUAAACUCUUGAAACUUGAGGUCCAUCGUAGAUAAGACAGAGAAGAUUGUCGUAGUUGAAUAAAAGCUUGUAGAAGCCAGAUGAAUAGUCAUUCUUGCUUUUUGAGGAAAUGAGUUGCAUGUACCUUGUGAAACUUUGAUCAGGAAGGAGAGUAUCUGUUGGGGAAUCAAAACUCUGCCACAAGAAAUUGGAAACAAUAGUGUUGUGUUCUCGAAGAAUGAGAUUUCCUGUGUCGCACAAAAACAACUCAAGUUUUUUGGAUGAGUUAGUGUUUGUGGACCAAACGUUGAACUGUCCUGCGUCGGUUAAAAUGAGGUUGCCAGUUUUGAGAAGGGAAAGUGUUGAGCGUUUUCCGUUAACAGGUUGGUCACGAUUAGCCAUCCAAACAACGGUAGGAUUGGAAAGGUUUUUGUGUUUUUGAGUGAACCAUAUGGCGAAUGAAUAAGCAUUUUCACCUACGGGAUAAAAACCCGCGGUGAAUGUGCCUUUGGGUGAGACUAUAAUGUCAUUUUCAUGUCUCUCCACUGAGAGGGAAAAUGAUAAUGAAUGUUGAAAAUGGAAGAGCAAAAUGAAAAUUGUAAAGAAGAUUGGUGAAUGAAUCAUUAGAAUCAUGAUAUGUUAUUGCUGGAUUGUUUUGUUAUUCACUGUCAUCAUAUAUAUAUACACACAUGGUAUGGUAAUCAAAAAGGCAUGUGAACAAAAACAGGGGUAACUUCCUUAAAAUAAAAUAAAAACAUGGGUAACUUUUUGGUCUUCGUUCCUUCUCCCACGGCAUGAUCAUAAUUCUUCAUUUUACCCAAUUAAGUCACCCAACCUUUUUACUAGGAAACCAAACAAUGUCGUAGAAAUUAUCAAAGACAUUAGUGAGAUGAAACGAUUCGAUGAAUGAAUUAUGAGAUACAAUGAUUGUCCUUGUAUACACAUGUGGACGUGCCAACUUUAUACCAGUGUACUUUUUUUUUUUCCUAGAUAUCGUGCGCGUAACUGUAUAGAUUAAUUCAUCGAGUUAGAUAAGACCACAUUGAAUGUCAAAACUCUCACUCAAGAGAUUUAACAUUUAUGCAUACCCUGAGCUAGAUCUGAACAUUUGUUCUCCUUGUCAGAAUUUGGACCCUGAACCUCAAACUCUUUAACAUUUAACUCAAAACAGUUGAACUACACAAACGUUCUUAUAUAUGACACUCAAUGGCGUAGCCAAGACCUCAGGUCAGGAGGUGCAAUUUAAAAAAAAAUAAUAUGAUCAUUAUUGUUCUUUUUUUUUUAUAAAAGAGGGCCAAAGACCCAAUGGAAAAAAAAAAAAAAAAAAAACUCAAGUUUGCUAGCCAGUCAGCAUAUUUGUUGCCUUCACGCCACAUGUGAAUAACUUCAGUAUGUCAAUCCCGUCGAAGAAGCUCUUGAAUACGUCUUAUCAAGGAAGGAAUGGCUCCAUUGAAAAAGUGCAUCCAAACCUUCAAUAUAUGCUAACAGGACUAUCCCAUUUCAUUGUGAAAUCUGCUUAACUUGCCCUCCCUUUCUUCAAGCUCCUCAGAAAAGAGGCAGCCUUCAAGUGGAUCUAUGAAUGUGAAGUUGGUCUCACACAUGUCAAACAUUCGUUAUCAAGACCUCAUGUGCUCUCAAGAUCCGAACAAGGUGAAACCCUACUUAUAUCUUUCUGUUGCUGCUGAAGCUGUUAGUGCAACACUUGUUAGAGAAAUUAAAGAUGAUCAAAGAUAGUUUACUUUAUGAGAAAGCUCUCCAAGGGCUGGAAAUCAAGCAUCAAAAGAUCGAAAAACAUCGCGCUUAUAAUAGUGAUCGGAGGAAGUACAUACUAUAUAUGAAAUUAUUGUCAUUAAAGAAAAACUUUAUAGUAUGAAAAUAAUAUUUUCCGCAUAAUUUUUUCCAUGCUAUUUCGUUGAGAAAAUAUGUCCCGGGUCAUUUUCUUUACUGCUAUUUUCUUUGGGAAAUAAUAUUUUUGGGGUCGUUUUCCCUGCUAUUUCAUUUGCACUUUUCUUCUUACUUUAAUGGUUGGUAUCUCGGAUAAUAUUUUCAAACAUACAAAUUCUUUGUAGUUGGUCCAAAGUGCAUUUAAUUUUUAAAUUGUUGGAUCUUGACGGUGCGUAGCUGCGAUAAUAGCAAGAUUCUAAAGUGCAACAAUUAAGAAUUGAGAUACUGUAAAAAAGAAUAGAGAUUGUAUGUCCGAGAAAAUCUUAUCUUUGACUGUAAUAUAAUUUGAGCAUUAAAUUAAUAGGGUUUUUCUAACUUGUGCAAAGAUUGCACAGUUAAGCUCCAAUAAAUGCACUAUUUUUUUUGUUUUUCUAAAUCUUAUUAAUUAGUCUUUCUUUUGAAAAUUGAUUUUUUUUCAUCUCUCUUCUAUUAACUGCUAUAAUUUCGGUGCACUGAGAAAUAUAGAGAAAGUUAAAAUUCAAAUUCCACAAACACAUUAAACUGAACAUUUUAUUCUUUUGUCACGCGACUUUUUCCUUCAACUUUGAAAAAGUCUGUUAAGAUAUGGCAAAUCGAAAGGAACCAGACCAUUUGUACUCGUAUGAUUGUUAUACCACACUAAGUUAAUACCUUAAUUUGCUUUCACAUAUUUUUUUUGCUUUCACGUUUUUUUUUUUUAUUUCUUCAUUUGUUCUUAUUUGUUUUGUCAAUUACUUUCAUAUUUUUUUCGUUCUUUCAAAAGGAACCAAACCAUUUGAAAAUAGGGUAACAGACCAAAAGAAAAUCUUACUUCUUCUUUCAAAUUAAUAUAUUUGUUCUCAUUAUUAAGUCUGCAGGUGAGUAGUUAGCCAAAGAGUGGGAGGCUAUAGUUGUUUUUUUGGUUCACAUCACGAUAUAAAAGAAUGGUUUCAUGUUGUUACAGUUGUCUUUCACAAUAAAAAUAAAUAAAAUAAGUCACAAAGUGGUUUUAACGUAGAAAGCACCCGUAGGUAAGUACUCCCUCCGUUCCUUUAUAAUUGUCACUUUUGCAUACAAAAUUUGUUUUCAAUUAACUGUCGUUUUCAAAGUCCAAUGUAUCAUUAAAUGUGGUUUUACCUAUAUUACCCUUAUAUAUUUAUUGCUGAGAGAGAAAUAUAUGGAAUGAAGUAUUAAAUUAUUAAGGUUAUUAUAGAAAAAAGAUAAAUUGUUGUAUCAAAAGUAGUAAAAGCAUUUGUUGUCUUGAUUUGUGUAAAAAGUCAAAAUGUGACAAUUAAAAAGGGACAGAGGGAGUAUGAGAGAGGGUUUCAGAAAAAAAAGGAGAGAGAGAAAGAAAAGUCUAAUUAAUUGGCUAAUUAAUAGGAUUUAGAAAAAUAUAAAAAGUAGUGCAUUUAUUGGAGCUUAAGCUGUGCAAUCUUAUACAAGUUAGAAAAACCCAAAUUAAUAUAGGAUAAAAGGAGGGGUGACUCUAACCAUGGGCAGGAGGGGCGGCAAUCUAAGACAUAAUAUAUUCAUACAUUACAAUAACAAUAUUUAUACAUAGUAAAUCCAUACAUUUGAUUUCUAAACAAAUAAAAAAGUUAAUUACAAAGUUAUUUGAUUAAGCAAAAACAUGAAUAUUGUUCAUCACAUUUAAUAAAAACUAAGUUUCUUGAUGCAACACAAACAUAACUAAAAUUCAUAACAUUUAAGAAAAACAAAGUUUCUUGCUUAAAAAAACAUAAUAAAGUUUAUCAUAUUCGACAAAAUAAAACUUCUUGAUUCAACAAAUUCACGGUGAUAAAUGUAAUUUACUAGUGGGUAAAGGUAUUUGUGGAUGCGGAUCAAUCAAAUAUGAAUCCAUUAAAUAGCAAGUAGUUGAAAUAUCCAUUUAUUUUAUCCAUUGAUAUCCAUUAAGGUAUCCACUUUGAGUCCGUGACAGAUUUUAUCCGUAGAUACAUGAGUGCGGAUUUUGUGAUCCCUAACUAUGACACAUAGUUAUUAACCUAUUUAUUUUUUUAAUAAUUAUUAUUUAUGCUUAAUUUUUAAAUAUAUGAUUAUAAUAUUUAAAGUGGUUUCAGAGAAGUGGUUAGCAUUAUUUUAGUUUAUUCUUUGUUCUUGAUUUUAAUAUUUCAUAAAAUUGAAGUUGUUUAUGUAACAUACAAAAAAUGGGAUCAGUGCCGGGUUUGUUUUUUUCCUUGGGACCAAAACAAUAUAUAUACUCAUUUAAGAAUUCUAUCAAAGUUACAAACAAACAAAAAAUAAAGUGAUAACUAAUCUUAAUGGAAUCUUUACAUAAAAAAUUGAAAAUAAAAAUAGUGGUCCAAUUACAACAGUCAAAUUAAUAAUUUAAGUGUUGCUAUCUACAAUUAUCCCUUUCUCUCUUAUUGAAUCUUAACUUUGGACUCACACUUUGACCAACAUCUAUAAGUAAAUCUAAGUAUUAUUCCUAGUUGCUCAUGUUGGACUUUAAUUUUGACAUUCAAUCAUAGAAAGCAUAUAAAAGGAAUUACUUCAGCACAAUUAGCUGAUCUAGGAAUAAAUAAUGCUUAAUCAAAAUGAUUUGAGGUUUUUAUGCAACGUGGUUUGGAAUGCACUUCAAGAGUUGGAAGCUGAAGAAAUCAAUUCUUUGAAAACUUUGUUAAACUAACCAAUUUAUCCCAUUGCAUUUGCUUAUUUCAAACAUGAAACAAUUCAUUCAUUAAUAUAUCUACUGAUGAUAGUAGACUUGACUAUCAGUGUUGUACAUUUCUCUAGCUUAGUUUCCUUUCAGGGAAAUGGCUCAACAGCUUGAGGGUAUCUGUGACAUAGCAGUUGCAAAAGGUGGAUCCUCCUAUAUGAACCUCAAUGUAUUUUAGAAGACUUUUUGUGUGAUCAAUGCAAUUUAAAAACCGAACCAUACAUCGAACCAGCGAGACUUUAUGGUUAUAGAAUUAUAGUUAGACAAAACUGUGAUCGAACCACUCAAAUAACCAAAUUUUAGACACUGCCAGUUUAAGGUUUAACCGAUUGAACCGUCUUAUUCGAUUUUGAAAUAUUGUUUCAAGGUCAUUGGAUACAUGGAGCUUGUUUCUUCGUGACAAGUAUAGAACAGGCAUAUAAGCAACAGAAAUGUGAAAACUAUGAUCACAUUCUAAACACUAAUUAUUUAAAUGUUACCUCCAAAAUUGUGAUAACAUCCUCCUUGAAUCAAAUUACAUGUAGAAAAUAAUGGAAACAGAAGUAUUAAAUGUGUACACUAUCAAUAAUCAUGGUCAUCCCUUAAUAGCCUCUCAACAACUUGACUCAUGGUAGGUCUAACAUCUUUAUCUUCUUGUACACAAUCCAAAGCAACAUUUGCCAAUGUCUCCAUCUUCUUUACAUCAUAAUUUGAUCCCAAUUUUGGGUCUACAAUUUGUGCCACCCAACAACCAACUUCUACUCCUUUUCUUCUUUUUUCCCUAACCCAUGUUACCAACCUCUCAUGACACAACUCUUCUUUGUCUUUGAUUUGGAUACCUGUUGUUGGACUCUUUCCGGUAAUCAUCUCCAACACAACGACUCCAUAGCUAUAAACGUCCACUUUAGAAGUGAUUUGCAUGUUGAAAACCCAUUCAG
Molecule: long non-coding RNA, 7267 nt
Filed under: Medicago truncatula (barrel medic)
Lineage: Eukaryota; Viridiplantae; Streptophyta; Magnoliopsida; Fabales; Fabaceae
Description: long non-coding RNA (MTRU_LNC000749)
Source: RNAcentral